GAUUAUUGUGUGUGAAAAUCCCAGGAGAUAAAUUACCGACACUCUUGACCUGCAUCUGCAUGAUUUUGUGCAUCACACUGCUGCACUACUGGCUGAUUGGAUAACUAUAUAAAUAAGUGUGUGUACAGAUAUUCCUAUUAAAGUGGUCAGUGAGUGUAUGUAUAAAAAAUGGAUGUUAUUAUAUGUCUUUUUUUUAUCCCUUUUUAAGACCUUGUGCUCAAUCCAGGUGGUCACUCUACCUGUAUAAAAUACGACUUAAGCUACCUUCUUUUCACCUGGAAUGUUGAGCACCAUGGCGCAAUCAGAAGUGUUUCUGAGGACCACAGAAGCUUCUGAAGCUCACCAAUUCUCAGUCAUCAUUUAAAAAACAAAACAAAUUCGGAAUUCGAUGGAAUAGGACGCGAAGUUGGAGGCUCCUGCUGAUUUCGAUUAAAAUUGUACUCCAGGAGCUCCAGAAGAUUCUCGGGGAAGCGCUGUUUACUAUCCAGCUUGACCUGCAGGCCGUGAAAACACAGCUGGCUAGUGAUAAAGUUGCUACCGAGGCCACCAUGUCAACACUGUAAGGUACUGCUGGGGAGAUGGAGCACGCUCUCUCCCCUUGCACCGAUGACAUAGCUCACAUGAACACUACUGUCGAGUCUCUCACUGCGACUGUGACUCAAUUAGAGAAUAAAUGUGAGGAUUUGGAGUUGAGGUCACGGCGCAAUAACGUUACGAUAGUAGGAGAUCCAGAGGGCGCUGAAACCUGUAUAACUGCUGCUGUAGCGGCCUUGUUAAAAGAAGCGUUUGGUCUGGAGAAGGAGCCGGUUUUGGACCGGUCCCACAGGACCCUUCAGCCGAAGCCCAAGGCUGGUGAACGACCACGAGCUAUUGUGUGCAGAUUCCACUAUCACAGUGACUGUGUUGACAUUUUACGCCGUGCGAGAGAGCUCGGUGAAGGUGAGGGAUUUGACCAUCUCCGUUUUCCCUGACUACACAGCCAAGACAGCCCGGGCCCGGGCCUCAUUUAACGAGGUUCGGCGUCAACUCCGUGGUAUUGAGGGAGCUCGCUAUGGAAUACUUCACCCAGCUCGUCUUCGCAUUACAUAUAACAGUGUUCAGAAGGACUUUAUUUCAGCGGAGGAAGCAGGAGACUAUGUUAAACUCUUGAUAUCAGGGUGAACUGCAUCACCUACACAGCGGAGACUUUUUCGCUCUUCUUUUAUUUUUAUUUUUUGCACUCGGCCUUCCAGCUCUACAGAAUUCAGAUUUUUAUCGAAGAUAAUGUCGUUGCAUCACUCCACCUAGAUUCCUUAAAAUGUCCUUCUGUAUUAAUGUGCUUCUCUGUUUCGAUGCCCUGACCGGGUUAGAGUUUCUGUUUAUUUAAUUUUAUUAGUGUUAUCUCCUCGGCUUUACGUGCUACACUGUUAUAUUAUUUGUUACAAGUCUUUAAAAGGUAAGGACAUUAUAUUUAUUAUUGUGUGCAGAUUGUUUAUCAGUCUUGGUUAUUUUGUUGGUUGGUUCAGUUUACUCUCGGAGUUGUUUUCACAUUGUGGACCACGUUCGGUUUCUGUAGGAUACACUGCUGUCUCAUUUGUUUAUGGAGACUUUGGGUGUGGGAGUUUGGAGGAUUGUGAGAGUAAGCAGAACAUGCCAAAGCUUUGAAGGAUGUAAUGUUAUUUAAUUGCGAAUCUGUUUUUAGUGGAUUUAAAGCUAACAUGGUGAACAAAUUAUAUGAUAGAAUUCAGGCAAUUUUACUGGGGUUAUCUCAUACAGUGUAGCAAGUAAUAAUCUGGAAAGACCUUUCUAAUAUCACAGUCUAAAACUGGAUUUAAAGAGAAGCAAAUUAGUAAAUGAAUCACAUGUAAAUGAAUCACAUGAAAAUGUAUCACUUGAAUAUGAAUCUCAUGAAAAUGAAUCUCAUGUAAAUGAAUCACGUGUAAAUGAAUGACAUGUAAAUGAACCAUAUGAAAAUGAAUAAAUAAAUUAAAGACAAAAAAACAAAACAUUUUCAAUCAUUUUUAUUCGACAGUCAUAUGUUUAUUGAUCAAAUCAUUUUAAAUAAUCAGAAACACAAAAAGCUAG
This is a long non-coding RNA of Ictalurus punctatus (channel catfish), 2064 nucleotides long. Lineage: Eukaryota; Metazoa; Chordata; Actinopteri; Siluriformes; Ictaluridae. The record is from Ensembl.